GAGCAUGUAGGCAUGUAGGGCACCAUUCUAUGUGUUGAACACUAAUGAGUGUAUGGUGUUAACCGAGUCUUGGUAUAUUGAUAUGAGUACUGUUUAUUAUUCCUUUAUGAACUUGCUGAGUCUUUGUACCCAUCCUUGUUGCUUAUAUGUUUUAGGUAAAUCCUGAGGACGACAUGCAUGGGAGUCUUGGGUGUAGCAUCCUCCUCGCCGCACGGGCCUCCUCCUCGCUGCAUGGGCCUCCUCCUUGCCGGAGUGACGCCCCUCGCCAGAGCAGCGCCGGCCAAGCCCAUCGGCCACCAGUGUUUUUGUUAUGCAAGUUUGAAGAAAAGAAAAAGAUCCAAAGAAGAUCUUAGUAAUAAGAUAGUUUUGACUUUGUGAAACUUGCUACCUAUGGAUGAAACUGUGUAAUAUUGAUGAAACUAUGUAUAUGUAUGGAUGAAACUUGCUACUAUUGGUAAUAUGUGUUGGAUA
This is a long non-coding RNA of Triticum dicoccoides, 471 nucleotides long. RefSeq lists it as uncharacterized. The record is from RefSeq and is a predicted model, not a curated record. The transcript is spliced from 2 exons. NCBI's taxonomy places the organism in Eukaryota, Viridiplantae, Streptophyta, Magnoliopsida, Poales, Poaceae.